RNAcentral lists this non-coding RNA (47 nucleotides) under Schistosoma mansoni. Lineage: Eukaryota; Metazoa; Platyhelminthes; Trematoda; Strigeidida; Schistosomatidae. The record is from RNAcentral.
ACACUGCUGAGGAAUCCCACAAUAGGAUGAAACGGCCCGUCCAGUGC